AGGCGAGAUCCUGUAUCUUUAUCUUGCAGUGAAAAAGGAGACAGAGAGCUCGCUUCUAGUGAGAGAGGAAGACGGACAGUAAAGACCAAUUUACUAUACAAGUUAAGUCCUAAAAGGAGCCGAACUCAAUUAUCCGAUCUUAGAGAAAUUAGCCUUUGCCGUGCUCUUAGCAGCCACAAAGCUAAGACCGUACUUCUGUCCCACACCAUCGAAGUACGCACUAACUAACGCUUAAGAAAGAUGUUGCAAAGGCCAGUCACGU
RNAcentral lists this unclassified non-coding RNA (262 nucleotides) under Hevea brasiliensis (rubber tree). The record is from RNAcentral. Lineage: Eukaryota; Viridiplantae; Streptophyta; Magnoliopsida; Malpighiales; Euphorbiaceae.